AUGAAAAUUAAAUUUCUAAAUCCAAUCUAAAAUUAUUGAAUUAAAAAAUUUGCAACAUUCAUUUCGCAUGACAGUAUACCAAAUUUUCAUUCGUACUAUCAGGUGCAAUCCAGCCUGUAAUAUAACAAUAAAUUGUAAAUAACGUCAUGUGAGUUGAAAAACUUUACAGUAAAUAUAUAUAUACUUAGUGUGGAAGUCUACAUUCAAAAUCCAACAACAAACGAGGAUGUACUUAUAGGAGUUGUUGCAGAUUCUUUAGCUAAAUUAAGUAAAAAUACCUUUUUUUUAACUUUAUUGAUGUAAGGCUAUUUGACGACGCCGGUAAUUCUACAAUAAAUGAUUAUAAAUAAUGAAUUUUA
Bactrocera oleae (olive fruit fly) is the source of this 359-nucleotide non-coding RNA. The record is from RefSeq and is a predicted model, not a curated record. Lineage: Eukaryota; Metazoa; Arthropoda; Insecta; Diptera; Tephritidae.